RNAcentral lists this small RNA (63 nucleotides) under Caenorhabditis elegans. RNAcentral describes it as "Unclassified non-coding RNA F14D1.3". Lineage: Eukaryota; Metazoa; Nematoda; Chromadorea; Rhabditida; Rhabditidae. The record is from RNAcentral.
AAAAAUUGAUAUUUUGAAAAUCUGAAAAAAAAUUUUUUUUUGGAUAUUCUAAAAAAUAUUUCC